GCAAGUCGAGCGCGAAAGCACUUCGGUGUGAGUAGAGCGGCGGACGGGUGAGUAACGCGUAGGAAUCUACCUAGUAGUGGGGGACAACUCGGGGAAACUCGAGCUAAUACCGCAUAAGCCCUACGGGGGAAAGCGGGGGAUCUUCGGACCUCGCGCUAUCGGAUGAGCCUGCGUAAGAUUAGCUAGUUGGUAGGGUAAAAGCCUACCAAGGCGACGAUCUUUAGCUGGUCUGAGAGGAUGAUC
This 243-nucleotide ribosomal RNA is filed under the name uncultured bacterium. Its description in RNAcentral is "partial 16S ribosomal RNA". It matches the Rfam family "Bacterial small subunit ribosomal RNA", at positions 57 to 305 of the family's 1533-position model. The record is from RNAcentral.